UACGUAGGGUGCAAGCGUUGUCCGGAUUUAUUGGGUUUAAAGGGUGCGUAGGUGGCUUUUUAAGUCAUGGGUGAAAGCCUGCGGCUCAACCGUAGAAUUGCCUGUGAUACUGAGGAGCUUGAGUGCGGAUGAGGUAACUGGAAUUGGUGGUGUAGCGGUGAAAUGCAAAGAUACCACAAGGAACACCGAUUGCGUAGGCAGGUUACUAAACCGCAACUGACACUGAGGCACGACAGCGUGGGGAGCAAACAGG
Molecule: ribosomal RNA, 253 nt
Filed under: uncultured bacterium
Lineage: Bacteria
Description: partial 16S ribosomal RNA
Rfam family: Bacterial small subunit ribosomal RNA
Source: RNAcentral